UACGUAGGGUGCGAGCGUUGUCCGGAAUUAUUGGGCGUAAAGAGCUCGUAGGCGGUGUGUCACGUCGGCCGUGAAAACCUGCGGCUUAACUGUGGGCGUGCGGUCGAUACGGGCAUCACUGGAGUUCGGCAGGGGAGACUGGAAUUCCUGGUGUAGCGGUGAAAUGCGCAGAUAUCAGGAGGAACACCGGUGGCGAAGGCGGUUCUCUGGGCAUGUCCUGACGCUGAGGAGCGAAAGUGUGGGGAGCGAACAGG
Molecule: ribosomal RNA, 254 nt
Filed under: uncultured bacterium
Lineage: Bacteria
Description: partial 16S ribosomal RNA
Rfam family: Bacterial small subunit ribosomal RNA
Source: RNAcentral